RNAcentral lists this long non-coding RNA (414 nucleotides) under Oryctolagus cuniculus (rabbit). RNAcentral's name for it is "lncRNA (ENSOCUG00000035430.1)". The record is from RNAcentral. Lineage: Eukaryota; Metazoa; Chordata; Mammalia; Lagomorpha; Leporidae.
CAGUCACUGACAGAGCCCUGAAAUUAGGAAAAGAGCCAGUGGGCUGUCUUGGAGGUGGCCAGGAAGAGAGGAAUGGAAGAUACUGGUCCCACUGAAGCCAAAUUGAGAAAGGUCCAGGGAAGAGAAGUGCAUUUUCUCAAGGUGCAGCCUUGGGCACAGGGUCUCCUUCUUGGAAACUCACACAGGCAGAUGACUUGUGGUUUCACUGAGUCAAAGGGACAACUGUGGAUGUCAAGGGAAGGCCACUCACACCCCAGUCCUCCACUGCUUUAUACCCACCUGGGUGCAACACGUGUGGUGAGCAAGUCUUGCAAGAGACAACACAGGGAAUGCAGGUUGAGAGCACCAAGGCUGGCAGUAUGGUCACCUGUCUCGGAAGACCAUGGGUGUGGUGUUGAAGAGGAAGAACACUGA